Corapipo altera (White-ruffed manakin) is the source of this 941-nucleotide long non-coding RNA. RefSeq lists it as uncharacterized. The record is from RefSeq and is a predicted model, not a curated record. The transcript is spliced from 6 exons. Lineage: Eukaryota; Metazoa; Chordata; Aves; Passeriformes; Pipridae.
CAGGCCCAAUCCUCUUGGUUCAGCAGUGAACUCAAAACCAGGGAGCUGAAACUGUUGACCGCACCUGCCAGCAAAGGGCAAGAGCAGAAAACUGCAAUGCUCGUUGUGAGUUAUGGCAUCAUUCACCCCAACAUGAUGUGCUGAAACCAACAACAGUGGGAUGGAGACCCUGCACACCAGAUUCAACAAGAGGUCCCCACAAUGCCAGAAAUGCUGUUUUGGUCUUAAUUUUUAUUUUCAUCUUUUUCCAUUACAUUAUCUGAAGAGCAACAAGAACAGAUGGAUGCUUCCUUAACACCUGCUGCUGUGGGAGUCUUCUGAAACACUUGCAAUAUAUGCUCUCACUCUUGUGUGGAACAGAGCUAGUGGAAACAUUCACUGGGAAAAAAGGCCAGCAGUGCUCUGCCUCGGGACUCAGUUUUCACACAGCAGCAUGGAGACAAGCCAGCUGGAAUGGGCAAGUCCGUGAUUGUGAUGGAAAAAUGAAGCAAUUAAAACAAAAGCAGGAAGGUUUUUUUAAGUCUGCUUGUAACACUGAGACUGAAGGACACUAGAAUGAUUAAUGGUGGCUGUAGAAGUAACAAGCAAAGCCCUUGAGCCUCAUGAGGCUAUUCAUGGCAUUCACAAACAGGAUGGAUUCCUGCAUGUAUCAUAUCACAUCACAGAAAAGAAGACAGAUCUUCACUCUGUCAGAUAUGAACCCUGCUGAUCCCGAUCUGCAAUGUGACUUCUGAGCUUCACCUAUCUCAUCACUGUGGAUAUGCUAAAUCAUCACUAGACUGUGUCUGACUCUCAUUAACUUCACUGGAACUGAUCCUGACCCUGAUCUUUGGCAUGACUUCCUGGCUUGAUUUCUUCAGACCUGCUUCAUCAUCACAAAAUUGCCUGACGGUCUGGACGUGGCUACCAUCCCUGGGCUGGUCUUUCUUGCCUCGGUUGGG